AGCCACAAUCUGCAGUUUCGUUUGGUUAUCUGUAUCGAUUUUUUUAAAUCAUUGAAGGUCCCCAAUAAUAAUAAAUAACAGCAUAGUUUACCUGGGCUAUCGGCCUACGCAAUCAUUGCUGAAUGACUGAGAACUACUACGCAACACGUGCAUGAUCUCAUUCCACGUAGAUAAAGAAAGUCCAUUCCAAGAAUGAGUUGAAAAGACAGGAUGGAACGAUAUGCUGAAAGAUCUGUACCUGUUUUUUGUGUUUGGCUUUCAUUGUUACUCGUCGAACGUCGUAACGCCUCUCUUCUCCAAAACUGCGACUAGUUCUGCUUACAAAUUGAAUUCAUCGCUCUGGAAAGGCACGGCAACACCUGCAUAGACACAAACGAACGUUAUUUAGAUAGUUAGGUGAAUGAUGGAAAUCGGAAAACAUUCCAUCGUUGGUCGGAGGUAGUCAGUUUGCAAACAAGACGAUAAGAAACACCAAAAAUAUUUUGCUUGUUUCUAUUAUGGCGAUAAUAGAUUUACCCAAAAAACCGCCUUGUCUCUGUUUUGAAAACUAGUAUUGGUCGGCACAGUGCAACGGGACAUGCUGUGGCAAAGGUAAAUGUUACGAAAUCAUUGGCAUUUACUUCGAAUUCCUGUAGAGGAUAACAGUUCCCAGGUGGCACGUAUCGCUUAGCAGGAAAUUUUACAAAAUAUUUUUUACUUAACAGUAAGGUAAUGGAAUGAUGAGCGUAUUGUAUCUUAAGGCAUCGUAUGGGAUGAGACUGGAUCUAAAACAUUAGGGAAUACACCGAAACCGCGACUACCGUUCUUUCUACUUUCAGCAAAACGAAGUUAAAAAUGGCCGAAAGCGUACGUCUCAUUUCAGUCUCAGGUUUCUUUAUGACAACUUUUUCGUUUGCCUCCGUGCUGAAACAACUACAAUCCGGAUUCAGAACAGUUUUCACCCAGGAGGAUGUCGGAGAUGCUACUGGAAUCACUUUUCCCUUUCUUUCGCGAUGCUGUAUGUAAUGGCGGAUCCAGUUGUUGCCAAGUGAAACUUUCAGGCCAGCCGAAUAGGUAGUCAGUAUUUUAAAAUAGCAAAACAAUGUUAUCACAUCUAAUUUUGCCAUGUCCGAAUAAAUAAUGACG
Molecule: long non-coding RNA, 1125 nt
Organism: Daphnia carinata
Lineage: Eukaryota; Metazoa; Arthropoda; Branchiopoda; Diplostraca; Daphniidae
Exons: 3
Source: RefSeq, a predicted model, not a curated record